RNAcentral lists this ribosomal RNA (919 nucleotides) under uncultured archaeon. RNAcentral's name for it is "bacterial SSU rRNA". It matches the Rfam family "Archaeal small subunit ribosomal RNA", at positions 1 to 922 of the family's 1478-position model. The record is from RNAcentral.
UUCCGGUUGAUCCUGCCGGAGGUCAUUGCUAUUGGAGUCCGAUUUAGCCAUGCUAGUUGCACGAGUUCAGACUCGUAGCAGAUAGCUCAGUAACACGUGGCCAAACUACCCUAUAGACGGCGAUAACCUCGGGAAACUGAGGCUAAUAGCCGAUACAGUUCGCUGCCUGGAGUGGCGCGAACUGGAAACGUUCAGGCGCUAUAGGAUGUGGCUGCGGCCGAUUAGGUAGACGGUGGGGUAACGGCCCACCGUGCCUAUAAUCGGUACGGGUUGUGAGAGCAAGAGCCCGGAGACGGUAUCUGAGACAAGAUACCGGGCCCUACGGGGCGCAGCAGGCGCGAAACCUUUACACUGCACGAGAGUGCGAUAAGGGGACUCCAAGUGCGAGGGCAUAUAGUCCUCGCUUUUCUCGACCGUAAGGUGGUCGAGGAAUAAGUGCUGGGCAAGACCGGUGCCAGCCGCCGCGGUAAUACCGGCAGCACGAGUGAUGACCGCUAUUAUUGGGCCUAAAGCGUCCGUAGCUGGCCACGCAAGUCCGUCGGGAAAUCCGCGCGCCUAACGCGCGGGCGUCCGGUGGAAACUGUGUGGCUUGGGACCGGAAGACCAGAGGGGUACGUCCGGGGUAGGAGUGAAAUCCCGUAAUCCUGGACGGACCACCGGUGGCGAAAGCGCCUCUGGAAGACGGAUCCGACGGUGAGGGACGAAAGCUCGGGUCACGAACCGGAUUAGAUACCCGGGUAGUCCGAGCUGUAAACGAUGUCUGCUAGGUGUGGCACAGGCUACGAGCCUGUGCUGUGCCGUAGGGAAGCCGUGAAGCAGACCGCCUGGGAAGUACGUCCGCAAGGAUGAAACUUAAAGGAAUUGGCGGGGGAGCACUACGACCGGAGGAGCCUGCGGUUUAAUUGGAUUCAACGCCGGG